RNAcentral lists this long non-coding RNA (790 nucleotides) under Equus caballus (horse). Its description in RNAcentral is "lncRNA (ENSECAG00000059785.1)". The record is from RNAcentral. Lineage: Eukaryota; Metazoa; Chordata; Mammalia; Perissodactyla; Equidae.
GCUUCUCGCUGGUGAUUGAGGGAGAUGCUGUCCAAUUCCAAAAGCCUGCACUGGCUUGGACACAGCACUGCUAAUAAAGCCGCUUCUUACUGUUCGGCCAUUCCUUACUUUACCUCAUUUGGUUAAACCACAAGCUCAGUGCUUGGAACUUCCGUUUUCUUAUCUUGAACAUCGCGUACUGUUCCAGCUCACAGCCAGCCACCCAGGAAGGAAGCGUUUUGUUCCUUUUAGACAGAGGCCCUGGCCGGCCACAUGGCCACGCUGUUGAAAAGCUCUAAAUUUUCCGACGAGCUCUGGGACCCUUAGCAGGGGAGACUGGAAACAGACAAGCUGGACCUCUGCCUGUAUGGCGAUUUCUGAGAUGCUAAGAAGUCCUCAAUUUCUUCUCCUUUGAUAGACUACCCAAUAUUUGAGCUGCUACCGUUAUGAGUUUCACGCGUAUUUUAUGAGUUAAAAGAAGAAAGCAGGACCAUUUUGGGUACGGGCCGAGGCAAGAGUUCCUGUUGCUUUGGAUUCUGACUUCUGGGUCUGAAUUGAGGGCAGGCUCAGGUGAAUAAGCCUGGACUAGCCUGCUGGAGGUGAGGGACCACGUGGAGCAGAGGUUCCAGUAGCAGGCAUUGCUGGUUGCCCACUGAUAUUGAUUAGCUGGCAACUAUCCCAACUCCAGGGGCAAAUCUUCAUUGAAAAAGGCAGCAAUGGUGGCUGCAAUCCCUUCAUUGGCUAUUGCACAGGAGUAAACAUGUGACCCACUUUUGACUAUGAAAUAAAAGGCCUGGGCCAACUAGGGGAC